UGCGAGGUAGGUCAGCUAGGAAGGCCGCCAGGCUCAUAACCUGGAGAUCGCCGGUUCAAAAGGAGUAGAGAGAUCCGAGGUGCUGGUCCCAGCAUCCGCUGCUUUUUGAUCUGCUCGCUCCUGAACAUCCGGCCCUCGCAACCA
This 144-nucleotide transfer RNA is filed under the name Candidatus Bathyarchaeota archaeon. RNAcentral describes it as "tRNA-Met". The stretch from base 1 to 95 matches the Rfam family "tRNA". Rfam says of the family: Transfer RNA (tRNA) molecules are approximately 80 nucleotides in length. Their secondary structure includes four short double-helical elements and three loops (D, anti-codon, and T loops). Further hydrogen bonds mediate the characteristic L-shaped molecular structure. tRNAs have two regions of fundamental functional importance: the anti-codon, which is responsible for specific mRNA codon recognition, and the 3' end, to which the tRNAs corresponding amino acid is attached (by aminoacyl-tRNA synthetases). tRNAs cope with the degeneracy of the genetic code in two manners: having more than one tRNA (with a specific anti-codon) for a particular amino acid; and 'wobble' base-pairing, i.e. permitting non-standard base-pairing at the 3rd anti-codon position. Lineage: Archaea; Thermoproteati; Candidatus Bathyarchaeota. The record is from RNAcentral.